RNAcentral lists this ribosomal RNA (250 nucleotides) under uncultured bacterium. Its description in RNAcentral is "partial 16S ribosomal RNA". It matches the Rfam family "Bacterial small subunit ribosomal RNA", at positions 15 to 248 of the family's 1533-position model. The record is from RNAcentral.
GAUCAUGGCUCAGGACGAACGCUGGCGGCGUGCCUAACACAUGCAAGUCGAACGGGGUUACAUUGAGGAAGUUUUCGGAUGGAAUUGAUGUAAUCUAGUGGCGAACGGGUGAGUAACGCGUGAGUAACCUGCCUCGAAGAGGGGGAUAACAACGAGAAAUCGUUGCUAAUACCGCAUAAGACCACAGGGCCGCAUGGUCCAGGGGUCAAAACUCCGGUGCUUUGAGAUGGACUCGCGUCCCAUUAGGUAG